This 253-nucleotide ribosomal RNA is filed under the name uncultured bacterium. Its description in RNAcentral is "partial 16S ribosomal RNA". It matches the Rfam family "Bacterial small subunit ribosomal RNA", at positions 524 to 776 of the family's 1533-position model. The record is from RNAcentral.
UACGUAGGGUGCGAGCGUUGUCCGGAAUUACUGGGCGUAAAGAGCUCGUAGGUGGUUUGUCGCGUUGUCCGUGAAAACUCACAACUCAAUUGUGGGCGUGCGGGCGAUACGGGCAGACUGGAGUACUGCAGGGGAGACUGGAAUUCCUGGUGUAGCGGUGGAAUGCGCAGAUAUCAGGAGGAGCACCGGUGGCGAAGGCGGGUCUCUGGGCAGUAACUGACGCUGAGGAGCGAAAGCGUGGGGAGCGAACAGG